RNAcentral lists this ribosomal RNA (207 nucleotides) under uncultured bacterium. Its description in RNAcentral is "partial 16S ribosomal RNA". It matches the Rfam family "Bacterial small subunit ribosomal RNA", at positions 568 to 774 of the family's 1533-position model. The record is from RNAcentral.
UGUGUAGGCGGUUCUUUAAGUUUGGUGUGAAAUCUCCCGGCUCAACUGGGAGGGUGCGCCGAAUACUGAGGGACUCGAGUGCGGGAGAGGAAAGUGGAAUUCCUGGUGUAGCGGUGAAAUGCGUAGAUAUCAGGAGGAACACCGGUGGCGAAGGCGGCUACCUGGACAGAAACUGACGCUGAGGCGCGAAAGCUAGGGGAGCAAACA